Phascolarctos cinereus (koala) is the source of this 469-nucleotide non-coding RNA. NCBI's taxonomy places the organism in Eukaryota, Metazoa, Chordata, Mammalia, Diprotodontia, Phascolarctidae. The record is from RefSeq and is a predicted model, not a curated record.
CAGAGAGGAGUGAGCCCACAGGAGGAACAGAACCUCUGCUCACAGCUCUGGGCUUCAAGCGGAGUUCUCAGGCCAGUGACUGCCAGCUCAAUGUGGAUACCUGUAUGGCCCGCCUGGCCCAGUUACAACAUUUCUGAGGGCCAUGGGAGUUUUGUGAAUGGCUGGGAAGCUAGCUCCCCAUUCCUGCCCCAGCAGCCCCAGAAACUCUGCUGCUCUCUCCCUGGAGGCUUUGUGGCUCACCUAACUAGACCCAGAUGUCUGUCUCCAUUGCCACCUGCUGGUGUGGGACCCCAAAGUCCCCUCUGACGGCGUGAAGAAAGCCCGUUCCACAGGAAAACACACAGAUGGAGUUGUUCCACUUGUCAUUUGGAAAUUCAAUUGUGAGGACACGGGGUGCAGAGGAAGUGUAGGCAGCGGACCCCAACUAAUGGGUGUAAUCCUAUUGGGAUGAGAAUGGAACCAGCACCAG